CGGUUUUUAUUUGGUAAAGCGUGCUAGUCGAUCGGCAGCUCAGUGACAGCUUGCUCUCUGGGUGGCGAGUGGCGGACGGGUGAGGAAUACAUCGGAAUCUACUUUUUCGUGGGGGAUAACUUAUGGAAACUUACGCUAAUACCGCAUACGACCUACGGGGGAAAGGAGGGGAUCUUCGGACCUUGCGCGAUUGAAUGAGCCGAUUCCGGAUUAGCUAGUUGGCGGGGUAAAGGCCCACCAAGGCGACAAUCCGUAGCUGGUCUGAAAGGAUGAUCAGCCACACUGGAACUGAGACACGGUCCAAACUCCUACGGGAGGCAGCAGUGGGGAAUAUUGGACAAUGGGCGCAAGCCUGAUCCAGCCAUACCGCGUGGGUGAAGAAGGCCUUCGGGUUGUAAAGCCCUUUUGUUGGGAAAGAAAUCCAUCUGGCUAAUACCCGGUUGGGAUGACGGUACCCAAAGAAUAAGCACCGGCUAACUUCGUGCCAGCAGCCGCGGUAAUACGAAGGGUGCAAGCGUUACUCGGAAUUACUGGGCGUAAAGCGUGCGUAGGUGGUCGUUUAAGUCCGAUGUGAAAGCCCUGGGCUCAACCUGGGAACUGCAGUGGAUACUGGCGCGACUAGAGUGUGGUAAAGGGUAGCGGAAUUCCUGGUGUAGCAGUGAAAUGCGUAGAGAUCAGGAGGAUCAUCCAUGGCGAAGGCAGCUACCUGGACCAUCACUGACACUGAAGCACGAAAGCGUGGGGAGCAAACAGGAUUAGAUACCCUGGUAGUCCACGCCCUAAACGAUGCGAACUGCAUGUUGGGUGCAAUAUUGGCUACGCAGUAUCGAAGCUAACGCGAUUAUGUUCGCCGGCUGGAGUAGUACGGUCACAUUACUGACUACUCAGAAGGUAAUUCGACGGACGCGCCCCGCACCAGCGGAGGAUGAUGUGUUAUUUACUUCGAUGCACGCGAAGCAUCCUCUACCUCGUCCAUGACAUGUCGAAGAACUUUCAGAAGUAUGGAUUGCUGCCCUUCAGGAACUCGAACCACAGGUGCCUGCAUGCUGUCCGUCCAGCCUCGUGUCCGUGAGAAUGGUUGGGUAAAGUCCCGCCAACGAGCGCCACCCUUGUCCUUAAGUGUCAGCCACGAUAACUGCUGUGACUACUACCGAUACCGCACCUGACGACGGGAGGAUGGUGGGCAUGACGUCAGGUCCCUCAUGGCCUUACGUCCAGGCUUACACACGUACUACAAUCGUAGGGGACCGCAGGCCUGCCAAGGCCCGG
RNAcentral lists this ribosomal RNA (1269 nucleotides) under Stenotrophomonas maltophilia. Its description in RNAcentral is "bacterial SSU rRNA". It matches the Rfam family "Bacterial small subunit ribosomal RNA", at positions 40 to 1260 of the family's 1533-position model. Lineage: Bacteria; Pseudomonadati; Pseudomonadota; Gammaproteobacteria; Lysobacterales; Lysobacteraceae. The record is from RNAcentral.